CAGUCGCCGCGGGAAUACGUAGGGUGCAAGCGUUAAUCGGAAUUACUGGGCGUAAAGCGUGCGCAGGCGGUUUUGUAAGACAGAGGUGAAAUCCCCGGGCUCAACCUGGGAACUGCCUUUGUGACUGCAAGGCUAGAGUACGGCAGAGGGGGAUGGAAUUCCGCGUGUAGCAGUGAAAUGCGUAGAUAUGCGGAGGAACACCGAUGGCGAAGGCAAUCCCCUGGGCCUGUACUGACGCUCAUGCACGAAAGCGUGGGGAGCAAACAGGAUUAGAUACCCCGGUAGUCCCUGUCUCUUAUAU
RNAcentral lists this ribosomal RNA (301 nucleotides) under uncultured bacterium. RNAcentral describes it as "partial 16S ribosomal RNA". It matches the Rfam family "Bacterial small subunit ribosomal RNA", at positions 509 to 809 of the family's 1533-position model. The record is from RNAcentral.